UCAGUCAAAUGCUUCGAAUGCCUCUCUCUCUCUCUCUCUCUAUGCCUUUUCUUUCUUCUGCUCUGAUAAAAACAGAAACAAACUAACAAACACCUUUCAUGGCGAAAGCGUUUUCACUUCUUCAAAUUUUCUCACAAAACUCAUCCUAUUCCAUCCUGAGAAGUCGAGAUUUUGAAUAGAUAAAGCUUCUCUCAAUCGGAACAACUUAGGAGCAUCAUUGGCUUCAAAUCGAGUGGCCUGCAUUUCAGGUUCUUGUUUUGGAAACCGAAAGAGAAGAGACGCCCAAGGACCAGGAGUGGGGAAUAUGGUGGAGGUUGAAGCUGCUGGUACUUCUUCAUGGCAAGUAUGGUUUGAUUUGACACUGCUUCUGAAAAAUGUGAAGCAAAUGCUUUUCUUUAGCUUGUUUGAGAUGUGGGUUGGUGGCAGAAAGCCCACUCAUUCAUUUCAAGUCAGCUCAUUAUCUGAGAUGUGGGUUGGUGUCAGAAAACCCAUUCACCCAGUUCAAGUCAUUCAACUUAUUCUCUUCUUAUUUUCCUCCUUAUGUUUCUCUGGCCUUUAAUGGUGGUGGUAAAGCAAGUGAAUGUGGUGUGAUAUUGGCGGGAACGGCUCAAUCUAUAUUUAUUCUGUUCUUAUUAUUUUUCUCUCUUGUAGCUAUUUGUGUACAUGUGUGUAGAAUAGCACAUUCUUCUCCAACCAAGUUUGCUGCUUCUUAUGGUUAA
Molecule: long non-coding RNA, 719 nt
Organism: Macadamia integrifolia
Lineage: Eukaryota; Viridiplantae; Streptophyta; Magnoliopsida; Proteales; Proteaceae
Exons: 2
Source: RefSeq, a predicted model, not a curated record